AAACCGUUCAGGGGUAAACCUGAGAAACCCGAAAGAUCGAUCGGGGAGAUUCAUCGUUGUCGCGUCGUUGGCUUCGCCGCGGCUCGCGAUGUCGCGGGCCACGCGCCCGCGGCACGCGGUCGCGGUGCACGUCCGACGACGCCGGCGUGCACUUCUCCCCUAGUAGGACGUCGCGACCCGUUGGGUGUCGGUCUACGGCCCGGUGCGGAUGCCUGUUCGUGCUGCGUUCACGCGCAGUCUCACGUACAGACCCCCGGUCGCCCGGCCGGCUGCCCGGCGGUACACGCACGGUAUUGAGUCGCAAAAAUUUUGAACUGCGUCGGGCCCGCCGCAAGCGCGGUCAGCGAUUCCCGGUGGUUCGGACCUAGCGCCGUCCCCGGGCCUGGCCAGCUGUUGGCAUAGGCGGUGUCCUCUGACUGGCUCACGAACGAAAAUACCGGUCGGCGACGCUAUUGCUUUGGGUACUUUCAGGA
RNAcentral lists this ribosomal RNA (473 nucleotides) under Xiphydria mellipes. RNAcentral describes it as "eukaryotic LSU rRNA". Lineage: Eukaryota; Metazoa; Arthropoda; Insecta; Hymenoptera; Xiphydriidae. The record is from RNAcentral.